AGCUUGCUAGGCAGUCGCCGCAUUUAUUGGUUAUUUCAAUAAGUGGGGAGGAAAGUCCGGGCUCCAAAGAGCAGAGUGCCAGGUAACUCCUGGGGGGCGUAAGCCUACGGAAAGUGCAGCAGAAAGUGAACCGCCUAAGCUAGUUGCUAUUUAGUUUCUAGCCGGUAAGGGUGAAAAGGUGCGGUAAGAGCGCACCGCGUGACUGGUAACAGCUCAUGGCGAUGGUAAACCCCACUCGGAGCAAGACCAAAUAGGAAUCUAAUAGCGCUGCUCGCGUUGGAUUCGGGUAGGUUGCUUGAGCUGAACGGUGACGUUCGGCCUAGAUGAAUGACUGUCCACGACAAAACCCGGCUUACCGGCAAGCUCA
RNAcentral lists this RNase P RNA (367 nucleotides) under marine eukaryotic metagenome. RNAcentral describes it as "Bacterial RNase P class A". It matches the Rfam family "Bacterial RNase P class A". Rfam says of the family: Ribonuclease P (RNase P) is a ubiquitous endoribonuclease, found in archaea, bacteria and eukarya as well as chloroplasts and mitochondria. Its best characterised activity is the generation of mature 5'-ends of tRNAs by cleaving the 5'-leader elements of precursor-tRNAs. The record is from RNAcentral.